GAUUGACGUGAUGAUUUAUUUACCCAUUUUGUCUGUAAUAUCAAAUGAUGAUAUAUAAUAUACAUGCAUCACCAUCUGAUCUCUC
Small nucleolar RNA from Lactuca sativa (garden lettuce), 85 nucleotides. NCBI's taxonomy places the organism in Eukaryota, Viridiplantae, Streptophyta, Magnoliopsida, Asterales, Asteraceae. The record is from RefSeq and is a predicted model, not a curated record.